CACCGUCUCAAAAAAAAAACAAAAAACAAAAAAAAAAACUUCUGAAUAUUAGCUCACUUCACCCAAAAAUAAUACUCUGAAAUACAUACCAGGGAAACUGAGGUACAAGGAGGUUAACUUGCCCAACAUGACAGAGGCGGUAAGUGGCAGUGCUGAGAUCUGAACCCUGGAAACUUGGCUCCAGUGUCUGGAUUCUUAACUCCUAAUCAACCUCUCUGUCUACCCCUUGGCCCAAGAGAGCUGGCCAGCCCUGGGGUACUCAAAGCAAAUCCACUUUCAGCUGAGGACUGAAGGCAGCAAAGUGAAUAUAUCUAUUUUUCCUUUUAAGUGAGACUCAUGUAUUAGCUCCCAGUUCUGUAGGUCCUAAGUUCAUGCAGGCUCUGCUGUGCUCCAUGUUCAGGGCAUAACAUGGCUGAAGCAGAGAUGUCAGCUCACUGGAGUCCUCAUCUGGAGGCUCUGGGAGGAACUGGCUUUUCAGAUUGUUGACAGAAUUCAGUUCCUUGCAGUUGUAGAACUGAAGCCCCCAUUUCCUUACUUGCGAUUCCCUCUGCAAUUAGAAGCUUCCUGCAUUCCUUGUCCUGUGGACCCUUCUACAUUUUUAUUUAUGGCAGAUAUUUUAACUGUCCCACAGAUUUGUCUUGAAUAAGAAGCAAAGAGAUGGGAAAACCCCCUAGCAACAGGUGCGUAAUGGGACUUUUUUUUGUUUCCGUUUUGGUUGAGGGCUCCCUGCUGGGGUACUUGGCUCUCUCUAGGGACAGCUGAACCGUCUGCUGAGUUAGAAAAGCGGAGACUUCCCCAAACCAGCCUAUGAACCCUUAGCUCAUCACCUGUCUUGAGGGUGUACCAGGAAGACUUGAGGAUUACUGAGGGGAAAAUAGAGGUUAUGGAGAAAGUUUCCCCUUCAUUGAAAAUGCCUGGGCCGGGUGUGGUGGCUCACGCCUGUAAUCUCAGAACUUUGGGAGGCCGAGGUGGGUGGAUCACCUGAGAUUAGGAUUUCAUGACCAGCCUGGCCAACGUGGUGAAACCCCAUCUCUACCAAAAAUACAAAAAAUUAGCUGGGCAUGGUGGCAGGUGCCUGUAAUCUCAGCUACUUGGGAGGCUGAGGCAAGGAGAAUCGCUUGAACCCAGGAGGCAGAUAUUGCAGUGAGCUGAGAUCAUGCCAUUGCACUCUAGCUUGGGCAACAAGAGCGAAACUCCAUCUCAAAAAAAAAAAAAGUCUGCAAAAAUAAAAAAAUAAAAAAUAAA
This 1245-nucleotide long non-coding RNA is filed under the name Macaca fascicularis (crab-eating macaque). Its description in RNAcentral is "lncRNA (ENSMFAG00000054086.1)". The record is from RNAcentral. Lineage: Eukaryota; Metazoa; Chordata; Mammalia; Primates; Cercopithecidae.